Non-coding RNA from Salmo salar (Atlantic salmon), 54 nucleotides. NCBI's taxonomy places the organism in Eukaryota, Metazoa, Chordata, Actinopteri, Salmoniformes, Salmonidae. The record is from Rfam.
AAUGCACCAAUUUGUAAGUCGCUCUGGAUAAGAGCGUAGGCUAAAUGACGUAAA